Long non-coding RNA from Oreochromis aureus, 5429 nucleotides. Lineage: Eukaryota; Metazoa; Chordata; Actinopteri; Cichliformes; Cichlidae. The record is from Ensembl.
CUGAGUCCUAUGUGUGGAGGGACAGUAACUGUGUGUGUAUAUGUGGCACUAUGUUAAAGACAGAGACAUGAAAAUAGUAGCCCCCCAUUUUAUUUUAUGCUCAGAGACACUUUCGUUUAGUAGGCCACUGUAAUGUCAGUUUUACUGUUGUAUAAGUUCCACCAGCAGAGGGCGCUCAGUCCUGUACGCAUCGGUAGCUGACGCUACACUAGAAGAAGUAGUGUCAGUGGUGAAGAGGCAGCGUACGGCCCGCGCGCCGAAAGAACUGAUUAAUCAGACAUUUUUCUGUCUUUACAGACGGAGCCACCAGAUCCUGACGUCGUGAGUACCUGCACUGCAACCACCGUUUCUAGCGAAGCGAGGAAAAGCCCAGAGUCGUACAUUCGCCUACUGGCCAGUGUCUUAUACAGGUCCACGACGCCAGGUUCUCGGUGACGCUGGGAAAAAGAACACAGCGCAACAUUGAAGGUGAAUAUAAAGCAGCCAGAAACACUUUGCGUUGAAUAAUCGAUUUUAGUUUGACACUGCUCAAAGAAGGGUCCUGUGUGGACCGAAAAGGAAAAGGACAGACGUGUCCUAUGUAAUAUGCUCGCCCGUGUAAGACGAAACAACCUGCCCUGUGGGGGCCCGUUUCGCAACAUAAGUAAGGGUUGGUAGCCAGUAUAUCUCACGCUCGCCUGCGUAAGACGGAUUAACACGCCCUGGGAGGCUUAAUCCGCAGCAUAAAAACAAAAGGUUGGUAGCCACGCUCGCCUGUGUAAGACGGAUUAACAUGCCCUGAGAGGCUCAAUCUGCAACAAAAAUAAAGGUUGGUAGCCAGAGAAGCGAGAGUGUCAAAUAAAAAUAGGAUUUUCUCUAAGCGCGCUAACUGUUUGCUGAAUGUUUGUUGAGGAGUAAGUGCUUCAUUGAAUAGGAGCUCUAGGCUCCUGCACUACUCCUAUUGUUUUCCUGUGAGUACUGGAUGGUGAGAAAGAGAAAAGGUUGCGCGUCAACGCGUAAAAUUAAGUCCGCCCUGAAUUUAGUUCAGGGUAGAAGGCUGACUUAAUAACCUCCUCUGACUCUAGUACCAGAGCGUCUCACAGUGUGUGUUGGCAGUAUAAAUAAAAUAUAAAAUAUAAGUAUUGCAUCGAUUAAACAAACUUAGAAAUGGGCAACAAAUCCAAAAGUAAACUAAAUGUCCCACAUGGGAGAGAAAAAAAAAAGUGUAGCCCCUCCACAUUGACUAAAUUAAAAGAAACCCUCCAAGCAGAUAUAAGUGAAAAAAGAGAGAGAUGCAUAAGGUAUAUUAUGGCUGUGUCAUUGUUCAGCCAAGGAAAGUGUGUCUCCAGCUUGGGUGGGGGUGAAACUGCAGAUCACCCCCACCUUCGAUGGAUACAUAAUAAAAUAUAUAUAUGAAAUAUUAUAAUAGACGAUUGUAUAUUUGUAGUAUAGUAGCAUAUUGUAAUAUACUAUUGUUAAAAGUAGUCUGAAUCAAGCUUAAGGUUUGCUCAAACUCAGUAUAAUGAUAUAUGAGAUGACGAAAAUACCAAAUCUAAUCAAGUGCAUAGAGACGCUUGACCUACUUGAAAACCUGUCAUCCUAGAUGAGACAUUGUUGAGAUAUAGAGCACACCUAUACUAACAACUAAACGCCCUUUAUAUAACAGCUAAGGCCACACAAUUGUGAAGCUGAAUUAAAUAUAUGGUCACUGCUAAGCUGAUGAGCAGGUUACACAUUUUUUAGAGCAGAGGCUGCAUAAGAACACAUCAGAGGGAGUGAAACAGAGCUAUUAAAGCUCAAACAUGAAGCUGUCUGUGAGCUCAGUUUUUUCCCCCAUGCUUCUGAUCAGGUGAAGGCAGAAAGCUACUAAACAAAAGAAAAGAAGCCAUACAAAAUGCGCCACAGCCACAAAACUAAGCAUUCACAUUUUUUCUGACUCUUUGUGAGCCUGAGUUAUGACCUUGGCUCCCUGUUUUUCUGCCUCCACCAAAGGUGGGGGUGACGCUCCCGUGGCAUGUGCUCUGUUCUUUUUACUAUCACAAAGAAAAAAAAGAAAGAAAAGAAAAGAGGGAGGCCCCUACUCUCUGAACACAAUACUCUUUUCAUAACUCAGCGUUAUGAAAUGUCAUGAAACAGUGUAACUCACUCACAGUAAAUCAGCAGUAUAGGAUAAUACAAACCUAUCUCAUAGACCUGGUGAUUUUCACAUUCUUUCAAUUGGGAGGUGUGAUGCAAACUGAAACUAAAUACUGAUUAAACAAGAAGUAUGAUGUGGCCUACAGCAGUAUCAUGAUUCACUCAUUUUGUUUACAGGUAUAAUGUAAUGUAAUCUCACAACUACUACAAGCACUUUUGCCUUUCUUAGCACACGCGAGUGAAGGGCAACUGUUAGAGACAUGCCUUGUUUGAGGAAAAGUUAAAAUUAACCUGCCUACAAACGCAAUGAAAAAACAGCUUACACUCAUGAACACGUGAAGAUUUUCCAGCAAGGUUAAAGCAGCAAAAAUUAAUAUACACCUGUUGUUAAAUGAUGAAGUUUAUCUAUUACUAACAAAUAAACCCUCUGGGUUGCAGGACAACAAUUUAACUUCUUCAAAAAGGAAAUACAGAGACUGGUAUGACCAACCAGUGAUUAAACAACAACUUUAGUGGUUAAAAGUCAAAUUGUGAGAUGUUUUCUGCUGAUUGAACGACACAUGUGAUUACUGACGGAGGGAAAAUUCCUUUUUGUGCUUUUAAACAUGAUUUUAAGAAUUUAAAUAUCUACCUGUGUUGUCCUGUCAACUUGGUGAGUUAUCAGUUGAUUACAUCGUGAGAGAAAAGAAAGGAAAAAAAAAAAAGGGGAAGGCUGACACAGGGCCUGCCCGGUGUUUCUCCCCUCUCUUUGUGUCACAGCCAGCACAACAUAAUUUUCCUGUUCAUACACUUCUGCUUGCUUUUGUUUUGUUUUGUUUUGUUUUUUCUCUUUAUGUUUAAUUACAGGCUGCUUUGCCGGCCCUGAAAGCCGAGGCUGACCUGGACUCCUGCUCUCCCCUCUACCACCUUCGACGUGACCCUGACCAAAUGCUGCAGCAGCUGGACUUACAAAAACAAUUUCCUGAAAAUGUCAACAGGGCUGCAGAAAAGCGAUCUUAUGCAGCGGAGACGGAGAGCGUUAAAACCAAGGCCCGUUUCACUACACGGGGGAAAAUUCUCAGACAGCUUCAGCUGACAGAGCUGUGACGAGACGCCUGCCAAGCCGAAUGACAAGUAAGGCCGAGCAAAAGAAUGCUGACCUUAACAAUUCUGCAUUAACAGUGAUGGACCAACACGGCAGCAAAAAGGGCGUGCCAGAGACAGGAGGAGCAACUGAGGUCGAAUGGACAAAACACAGAAGAAGAUGCAGUUUUCACCUGCGGUGAGCAUGGACACUGGAGAAAAGGACUGUCCCAAUUGGGGUCAGAACCAGGACAAACUGAACUUUGAACAGCAGCAAUGGUGGCAAGCGGACUGAAAAGGAGGAGGGCAGGACCCCAGGGCACGCUUCAGGCUGUGGUUUACCCAAGACACCAGAACAGGAAAGUGAUGAACACACACACAUCUAUAUACACCGAUUCAGAAUGAAGUGAAAUAUACACAUGAACACAUGUGCACUCGUUGAUAGAGGGAGAAAUGGCACACACACACGCUUAUGCAAUGAAGAAUGCUUUGCUCGCAAAUGCUUAUGCUCAUGCAAAAUGCUGCACACAAACAUCCCAAUACAUAAUUUUUAUGAGAAGCAAUUGACUGCUUAAAAUGUGUUUUAUGUCACCCAGAGGAUAUUUAUGUAGAUUUAAGUAACAAGGUCUAAAAUUGUCCGGUUAUGAAAACAAUGUCUGUGCGUGAGGUCUGUUUAUGGCUCAAGGUCUUGAUUGAAUUGUCUAUUGUGCUACACACUUCGUAAAUGAAGUAAUAUCAAAAGUCUCUGAAGCACUGGGCUUCAGUAUAAAACAUCACUUCUCAUAUCACCCGCAGAGUACCCAUUACAAGUGAACCGAUAGACAAAUCCAUAAGAGAAACAAAACUAGCAGAAUGGAUGACAAAACUGUUAGAAAACAAAGAAAUAGUUUUGAACAAUCAACUGCCAGAUGAUUCUCUUCCAGUCUCUUCCAGGUUGAAACCAGGAGAUUGGAUCCUGAUAAAAGUGCUCCAGAGGGAAAAGUGGAGCUCCCCGAGGUGGGAAGGACCCUACCAAGUCCUCCUGGCCACACCAACAGCCUGCAAAAUUGCUGAACGACCUUCCUGGAUUCAUCAGAGCCACUGUAAAAAAUCUACUCACUCACAGGACCAGGUGUGUUCGGUCAUCAUGAAGACCAUACUCGUUCUGGUGGCCAGUGUCACAUUUCUGUUGGGACUGCUGUCGCUGAUUUCAGAAGAAGAAGGACAAGAUUGACACAUGACACAAUACAUCCAGACGACAUGACACAAGAUCACAACCACCCAUGGAUGAACAAUGCCUGGUACCGUUAUGUGUAAAACUCCACAAGAGACAGAAACUAUUACAUCUGUUCGCACAUGUCUCUUAAUGCAAAACACCUGAUAAUGUGCAUUCCACCAACUUGUCUGACACACUGAACACGCUACGUCAGCUCAGACGAGUACAGCAGCAAGAUUACACACACAACACCGAGGACUGGCUCACAUGGCUGCUUAGCGGGUCAUGGAAGUCAUUACUCACAAAAGGACUAACAUUCGUUGGAAUGCUCCUUAUGUUACUUUGCUUAUUUUCCACAUGUGUACUGCCUUGUAUUCGGAGUAUGAUAAGCAAAACGUUUACUGUAAGAUUGCAAGCUUACAUUGCAUUAUCCCAAGUUGAACAAGCUCGAGAAAAGGUACAAGUUGAAGAAGAUGAUUUUUAAGCACUAAACUGUGUGAACCCAAUAAAGUUGAUCAUGUACGUUUUCACAAAAUGAUACUCUAGUUGAAAAUGCUUCUGCAAGUGACUAGUAGUUGAAGAACAUAAAUAUAUAUGAACAACAGCAGGGAAUGUUAAGGGAUUUUGUGAUUUUAUGAUGUUUUUCCUUUUUAAUACAUCUUCCUUUUUAAUGUUUCAUUUACUCAGUUCUCCUUAUAAUGUUCCAUUUACUCAUUUACUCAUAUGCUCCUGUUAAGAAAGGCUUGGAAAGCACAUAGUGUUCACAUAUCUUUAUGUUUUGUCUUUGCUUCUUCUCACACACAUACACAUGAGCCCUGCAGUAUUCGCUGACUCCUGUGAAAGUCUCUUGCAGACACCCUUGGAAACAGGACCCAACUGGCUUCUGUUUUCCUCGAGAUAGACAAUACACUCACACACACACACACACACACACUGUGUCCCAUACAUGCCCAGAUUGUUUGUUACAGCCUGACAAAACAGGGAAUGCUACGAAGUAUAAAUAAAGCUGACUGCAAAGCCUCGGAGUGAGUAUCACCCGAUCACUCACCCGAUCGCA